Molecule: small RNA, 83 nt
Filed under: Marmota monax (woodchuck)
Lineage: Eukaryota; Metazoa; Chordata; Mammalia; Rodentia; Sciuridae
Source: RNAcentral
GCCGGGCGUGGUGGCGCAUGCCUGUAAUCCCAGCGGCUUGGAAGGCUGAGGCAGGAGGAUCGCAGGUUCAAAGCCAGCCUCAG